Molecule: non-coding RNA, 638 nt
Organism: Schizosaccharomyces pombe (fission yeast)
Lineage: Eukaryota; Fungi; Ascomycota; Schizosaccharomycetes; Schizosaccharomycetales; Schizosaccharomycetaceae
Source: the annotation of a GenBank genome assembly
GAGACUUUAUAAGAAAGCUGUUAAUCGAAGAUCAUGUAAAAAAGGUCAUGAAAUAAGCUGAUAUGGUUUAGACGAGGAACGUGAUCGAAGAGAGGAGUAAUUUAUUGGAAUUGGAAGACGCGCCAGGUAUAAUCGGUGAAAAAGGUCAAAAUCCAUACCCAUCUUGUAAUGCCAAUCUGGCUUUUGAGAAGUUAGCGGCUUGGUACGUAGCUGAACUAACCAGAAACCAGUAUACUGCAUUAACUCAAAAAGCUGGGAUUGGGUAAUUCCACGGGGAAACGAAAAAAUGCCACAGUUCCAUGAAAUCCAAACUAUGUUAUACAUUAUAUACAACAUUUGUUCCGAUGAAAAUGAAGUCAUGGGUUUUUGAUCAGGCGAAGGGAGUUGAAGCGGGCAUGGUAAGGGAAUACUGGUAUACUGAGCUAAAAAUAUACAAAUAAAGGAUAAAGUUAAAGCACAAUCAGGAUUUAAAAACAUUUUCUCUUUACUUCUGAUACAUACAGGAAUGCCAGAAAUAGUCACAGAGGCAUUUAACUCCAUCACCUGAGAAAAAAAGUUGCUAUAAAAAUGUCCUGUUUCAUUGUCACUAUGAGAUAAGUCGGAUUUCGAAUUGCCCAUUGAUAAUUUUGAAAGUCUAU